UGAAUUGUGGACUAAUAGGUAAGUCUACCUGAAUUUGAGUCAGAGUAAUGAAAGUUCGAAUCUUUUCAAUUCAA
RNAcentral lists this transfer RNA (74 nucleotides) under Blastobotrys adeninivorans. RNAcentral describes it as "tRNA-Gln". It matches the Rfam family "tRNA". From Rfam's summary of the family: Transfer RNA (tRNA) molecules are approximately 80 nucleotides in length. Their secondary structure includes four short double-helical elements and three loops (D, anti-codon, and T loops). Further hydrogen bonds mediate the characteristic L-shaped molecular structure. tRNAs have two regions of fundamental functional importance: the anti-codon, which is responsible for specific mRNA codon recognition, and the 3' end, to which the tRNAs corresponding amino acid is attached (by aminoacyl-tRNA synthetases). tRNAs cope with the degeneracy of the genetic code in two manners: having more than one tRNA (with a specific anti-codon) for a particular amino acid; and 'wobble' base-pairing, i.e. permitting non-standard base-pairing at the 3rd anti-codon position. Lineage: Eukaryota; Fungi; Ascomycota; Dipodascomycetes; Dipodascales; Trichomonascaceae. The record is from RNAcentral.